GAUCUCAAAUCAGGUAGGACUACCCGCUGAACUU
This 34-nucleotide ribosomal RNA is filed under the name uncultured Tomentella. RNAcentral's name for it is "partial 28S ribosomal RNA". The record is from RNAcentral. Lineage: Eukaryota; Fungi; Basidiomycota; Agaricomycetes; Thelephorales; Thelephoraceae.